UUCAGAUAUGCUGUGGCGUGUUGCACACACAGGAAAAUUAGCUUUCCAAGUGGUAUGUCAACAUUAAUUUUCAUAGUUUUGUAAUAUCUCUAAUCAUAACCAAUGGGGUUAGACAAAAACACCUGCUGUCCUUUCUGCUAUUUGUAGGACAAAUUAAAUUCAGAGAAGCAUGACUACAGAGAACGGGAUACCCACCGUGGGGUAGGUGUCCUCAAGGCUUCUUGCCAUGUCAGUGGUUGGUGUUUUAACAUCCUAAAGGGGCUAACCAACUGCAAAUGAACACAUUUCCAUUACAUUUCUUAAUAGAUUUUCUGAUUCAAAGAUUGAGUGAGAUAAACGUGUAUUUAUUCACGGAAUGGUUACCUGAAGAGACAUUGAAGGGAUGGGUUGAAGCCAUAAAAUAUUUGGUUACUUGCAUAUGAAAUGCUUUUGAUGCUGUUACGCUCUCCUUGCUCAGUGAAUUUGUAUGUCUUGUGUUUCUUGACCUUUCUUUACAGAUUCCUGUACAGGUUUUUCUACACGACUGUAAAAAAGAGUGGUUUGGGUAUAAGGACACCAUAAUCCUUUCUCCAGCUUAAAAAGAUGAUUACUUCUUUAGAUCACGUUAGAGUCGAAGAGAAGGUAGCAGUUGCCACUCUUUGGUCUUUAAACCACUACGCUGUGCAAAAUAUACUUCACCUUCUCAACAUAAAGCUUUUGCAGAACAGGAAACUAAAAGGACUAAAUCCUUUUGUAAUCCAGUUGUUCCACAUGGCCACUGACUCAGUGUUAUUCAGGAGAAAUUACUCUAGGAAGAAACACCUCGUUAAAGGUUUUAGAGAUGUAGUAUCAAUCUUCACACAUUUUUGCUUAACAAAUUUUGACAAAAGUCUUGGGUAGUAUACACUAAAAUGUGCACACAAUACAUGCAAUUUAAUGAGUAUUGAGUUACUCCUCUGCAAGUAAUCACUGAAAGGCUGAAAGGACAUUAGAGCCAAUAUUAAGGAGCCUACAUUCAAUGUCUGUUAAUCUUUAACAACUUUUUCAACAUGAUAUUUUCAAAUGCACACAGAUAAUAGAGAUUUCCCCUGAGGUUUCAGGUAUUCAUUAGCCAGCAUCGACAGCUACCAAUAUUUUGUUUUACAUGUUUUAUCUACUCCCUUCCAAUUUUGGGGGGUAGUUUGGAAGGUUUUAAAGCAAAUCUCAGACCACGUGUUAUUUCAUGCAAAUAUUUUGUGUGCAAUUCUAUAUGCAUCCCCCAAAUUAAAAUGUUAGAAGACUAUUAACUUACAUAAUCACGACUGCCAUUGUCUCAUAACAAAAUUAAUCAUAAUUCACUGAUGGUGACUCAUACUCAAACCACAUUCCAAUUUCCCUGAAAGUCUGAAAAGAAUUAUUUUUAAUCCUUAAAAAUCAGGAUCCAAAAAAGUUCUGCUAUUUCAUUAGGUAGUUAUGUCCCUUCAGUCUUUUUCAGUGUUUCUUUGUUUCUUCCCAUAUCAUAGGUUUUUUGUUGUUGUUGUUGUUUUUUGAAAUAAGGCCAAGUUUUUUUUUUUACUCUCUGGAUUAUGGAUUUGAGUGAUAAAUUCUGCAUGGUGGUAUUUAACUUCAUUUACCCCUAAUUAAUUGCCUGUGGACAAAAGUUGACAUCAAAAAAAUAUGAUUAGAUCAAGUACAUUGUGCUUUGGGGCAGAGGAUAUGGAUUUCAUAAACAAUGCUGAAUAUUCACUACUUUUAUAUUUAAAUUAAUAUUCUGCCCUCCAAUCCUAAACACACAUCAUACACACACACAUUCACACAGACAUACACAAACACACACGGUAUUGAAAGCUCAGAUUUCAACCCAAGCUCUGUGGUCUACUAAAAAAAAAUUCAUAAAGAAAUGGCCUGUACUGUGUAAUUAAGCCAAAAACCGAGUCAUUGUGUCUAACCACAGCCUGCUAUUUCCUCUUGUACAAAUAAAAGUAAAAUUUUUAUACAGUAAAAAAUACAACAGGGACAAGGUGAAGAAAUGGGUUUACAAUAGACACGGCCCUUCACAGACGGCCUUCAUGUGGCCUCUAAGCAGGAAGGGACCGAGAUGUGACAUUUAUCAAGCAGCUGUUUAGGCACUUUACCUAACACAGUCAUAGAAGCCUCACUGCUCCAAGCUCAGUGUUAUUAGCACAGGGUUCUCACAGAGCAGAUAACUGAGACUCAGAGAGGCCGAGCGAGUUUCCUAAGGUCACAUGGAAUGAGUGAGCUGCAGAUUGGGGAUUGAGCCAGAGGGUGUCUACUCCAUACAGCACAACCUUACAAGUAGAUUGAUGACUAAAAUUACAGGAGGAACCCCUGUUCAAAAUGGACUCUUCCACUGCUCAUAAGCCUUUUGUUAUAAAUAUAGUCCCUUGCAUCCAGGAAAAAAACAGCCUGUGAUCCGAAUGAGCUAAACAUGGAAAUAUCAUCCCAAGAAGGUCCUAUUAGAAUAGGAAAUACUGGGUUAUAGUCCCAGCUUCACUACAAACUAAUUCUAAGUUUUCCUUGAAGUUUAGCCUUCAAAUCAUUACUCUGUGUGUAAACACGGUUAUUGAUUAGUAUCGUUAGUGGGUGUUUAUAUUUUAAUCUUGUAAUAAAUAAGCCUUUUUUACGAAGACUUAAUUUUGCCACUGUGGCUAACACUGACCGCUUUCUAUGUUCCAGGUGCUUUUCUAAACACUUCACCGUUAGUAACGCAUUUAAGACACCACCUGAGCCUGAGAGAGGUACUAAUAUCUUCUCUAUUUUGCAGAUGAGGAACGUGAAUUACAGUAAGGAGCAGAGCAAUUUUGAACAUGAACACGGAAACGGCCAAACUGGGAUUUAAACAGGCGUUUAAUUCUCAGACCAGCCAGAAGAACCAGAAGAGGCAGAGGAAAGUGUCUUCCUUCCCUACCCCUUCAAAUACAGGAAGUGACCAUUUCAUACGCCUUCGAAUACAGGAAGUGACCAUUUCAUACACCUUCGAAUACAGGAAGUGACCAUUUCAUAUGCCUUCGAAUACAGGAAGUGACCAUUUCAUGGUUGCGUGUCCUUAUCACUUGCCUUCAAAUUGUUAGAGAUAUUUUUCUUUUUUAAUUUGUUUUAUCCGUUAGCGAAAGGAGGUUAACUGCUUUCUCCCUGCUCAUUACAAAAGGUAUAU
This is a non-coding RNA of Sus scrofa (pig), 3133 nucleotides long. The record is from RefSeq and is a predicted model, not a curated record. Lineage: Eukaryota; Metazoa; Chordata; Mammalia; Artiodactyla; Suidae.